This is an RNA transcript of Daphnia magna, 1265 nucleotides long. RefSeq lists it as uncharacterized. The transcript is spliced from 4 exons. NCBI's taxonomy places the organism in Eukaryota, Metazoa, Arthropoda, Branchiopoda, Diplostraca, Daphniidae. The record is from RefSeq and is a predicted model, not a curated record.
GAGAGAGAGAGAGAAGGAGAGGCCUCGGAAAGGCUUCAACGGGCCCGGGACCCGGUUAUAUAAGAGGCUGACGGCAGGUAGUAUCAACAGUUGGACAGAACCAACAGUGGAAACAACAACCCACAUCUCGUGCAAUACCAAAUUAUCAUUCAAACAAUUUGUCAACAUGUUCCGCCCGAUGUUAUUCUUCACUUUAAUGCUGACUGUCACCCUGGUGACUUGCCGACCUGACAAGCUGGAUGCUGAUCUCAAAGCAGCGAUGGAAGCCAAAGCUGCAAUGGAAGCUAAAGCGGCCAUGGAAGCCAAAGCGGCCAUGGGUAAAAGCGUCGAAGUGUCCGGCAAAGGAGGCAGCGAUAUCAACGACGGUGGAAGAUUAUUGUCGCUACCGGAAGCUGACGCUUGCGCACAAAGACCGAAACAAUGGGAACGCAAUGGACAUUGGUACUUUUUGAGCACGAACGUCAGCGCUUAUAAGGAUAUCAAGAGCGAUUGGUUGGAUGCCCGUAAUCUGUGCCGUAAACACUGCAUGGACGCCAUCAGCAUCGAAACGGUCGAAGAGAACGACAUGGUGCUCGACAUACUGGAGAAACAGAAACUACCCUACAUUUGGACGAGCGGACGUUUGUGCAACUUCAAAGGGCUGUGAUCGUGAAGAUUUGCAACCCGUCUUGAUCAACGGAUGGUUCUGGUCGGGUUCCGGCGUCAAAUUGGCCAAGACCAACGAAACUCCCGCCGGUUGGGGUUAUCAGCCAUGGAGCGCUACUGGCCAUUUUAAGAGACCGCAACCCGACAACGCUGAAUUCGAAAUCAACGAGACCAAGGAAUCUUGCCUGGGCGUGCUCAAUAACGUCUACAAGGACGGCAUCAAAUGGCACGACAUUGGAUGCUAUCACACCAAGGCCGUCAUCUGCGAAGAUUCGCCUCCUCUUCUCCAGUACAUUGCUGCCACCAACCCUAACAUCAAAUUGUAAAAGACUCAGAACAAGCACCGAAUUUUUUAAUAAAAAACAACAACAAAUGUCAGAGGAUUCGCAGUUUGUUUCCAGUUAGACUAAAUCAACAAUUUCCUGGAACAAACCAAAAAUAAAAACAAAAACUCGUCACAACGCAAAAAAAAACAAACAAAAAACAUGUUGAUGUUAUUCAAUGCUCUCCAUCAAGCGUACUAUUAUUUAACCUACUAAAACUACCUUGCGUAUUCGUACAAUCAAAAACACACCCACGCACAAUGUUUUCGUAUUUUUCAAUACAUUCGUUCACUCAAA